AGAGUMMMGAKCAUGGCUCAGAACGAACGCUGGCGGCGCGCUUAAAACAUGCAAGUCGAACGAAAAGCCCGGGCUUGCCCGGGUGGAAAGUGGCGAACGGGUGCGUAACACGUGAGCAACCUGCCCCSAARAMYGGGRWUAMCMCCGGGAAACCGGUGCUAAUACCGGAUGCCUUCAUCAUGUCGCAUGGCGAGAUGAAGAAAUGGAUUCCGCUUUGGGAUGGGCUCGCGGCCUAUCAGCUUGUUGGUGGGGUAACGGCCUACCAAGGCAACGACGGGUAGCUGGUCUGAGAGGAUGUCCAGCCACACUGGGACUGAGACACGGCCCAGACUCCUACGGGAGGCAGCAGUUAGGAAUCUUGCGCAAUGGGCGAAAGCCUGACGCAGCGACGCCGCGUGCGGGAUGACGGCCCUCGGGUUGUAAACCGCUUUCAGCAGGGACGAUUGUGACGGUACCUGCAGAAGAAGCCCCGGCCAACUACGUGCCAGCCGCCGCGGUAAUUCA
RNAcentral lists this ribosomal RNA (504 nucleotides) under uncultured actinomycete. RNAcentral describes it as "partial 16S ribosomal RNA". It matches the Rfam family "Bacterial small subunit ribosomal RNA", at positions 8 to 527 of the family's 1533-position model. Lineage: Bacteria; Bacillati; Actinomycetota; Actinomycetes; Actinomycetales. The record is from RNAcentral.